AGAUUGAACGCUGGCGGCAUGCCUAACACAUGCAAGUCGAACGGGAGUAGCAAUACUCUAGUGGCGGACGGGUGAGGAAUACGUAGGAAUUUGCCCUUAAGUGGGGGAUAACCCGGGGAAACCCGGAUUAAUACCGCAUGACCUCGAAAGAGCAAAGUGGGGGAUCGCAAGACCUCACGCUUUUGGAGAAGCCUACGUCGGAUUAGCUAGUUGGUGAGGUAAUGGCUCACCAAGGCGACGAUCCGUAACUGGUCUGAGAGGAUGAUCAGUCACACCGGAACUGAGACACGGUCCCGGACUCCUACGGGAGCAGCAGUGGGGAAUA
Molecule: ribosomal RNA, 325 nt
Filed under: uncultured soil bacterium
Lineage: Bacteria
Description: bacterial SSU rRNA
Rfam family: Bacterial small subunit ribosomal RNA
Source: RNAcentral